This 432-nucleotide ribosomal RNA is filed under the name uncultured bacterium. RNAcentral's name for it is "partial 16S ribosomal RNA". It matches the Rfam family "Bacterial small subunit ribosomal RNA", at positions 29 to 507 of the family's 1533-position model. The record is from RNAcentral.
AACGAACGCUGGCGGCAUGCCUAACACAUGCAAGUCGAACGAGACCUUCGGGUCUAGUGGCGCACGGGUGCGUAACGCGUGGGAACCUGCCCUUAGGUUCGGAAUAACUCCCCGAAAGGGGUGCUAAUACCGGAUAAUGUCUUCGGACCAAAGAUUUAUCGCCUUUGGAUGGGCCCGCGUUGGAUUAGCUAGUUGGUAGGGUAAAAGCCUACCAAGGCGACGAUCCAUAGCUGGUCUGAGAGGAUGAUCAGCCACACUGGGACUGAGACACGGCCCAGACUCCUCCGGGAGGCAGCAGGGGGGAAUAUGGGACAAUGGCGAAAGCCUGAUCCAGCAAUGCCGCAUGAGUGAUGAAGGCCUUAGGGUUGUAAAGCUCUUUUACCCGGGAUGAUAAUGACAGUACCGGGAGAAUAAGCUCCGGCUAACUCCGUG